GCCACCGCGAGGUGGUGUCUGAAGGAAGUGUGGAGCAAACGUGCGGGUCGAUGGACAAAUACCGGAUAUAAGGCGCGAGCGCCGGACGAGCGGGCGACUUACCGCGAAGUCCAUAUCCAUCAAGGGUGCGAAGCGUAGAUCCGGCGACUGUGCAUGGAAGGCGGCUGAA
RNAcentral lists this non-coding RNA (169 nucleotides) under Rhizobiales bacterium GAS113. The record is from RNAcentral. Lineage: Bacteria; Pseudomonadati; Pseudomonadota; Alphaproteobacteria; Hyphomicrobiales.